This 113-nucleotide ribosomal RNA is filed under the name Chironemus maculosus. RNAcentral's name for it is "partial 16S ribosomal RNA". Lineage: Eukaryota; Metazoa; Chordata; Actinopteri; Centrarchiformes; Chironemidae. The record is from RNAcentral.
CGAGAAGACCCUGUGGAGCUUUAGACACCAAGAUAGACCAUGUUAAACACUCCCGCAUAAAGGACUAAACCAAAUGAGACCUAUCUUAAUGUCUUUGGUUGGGGCGACCAAGG